UGGCAGCACUGCUAUGCUGCAAACGUGGUUGUAUUUCGUUUCUAAAAAAUGUAUUGAAAAAUUUGUGUUUUUUGUACGAAAAUAUUCCGGUGUAUAGUGUAGUUGUGUAGCUAAAGAUGGACAUUUUCAUAGUUAAUUGAAAAAUUAGUGCAUUGAGUGGUUUAUUCCGCCAAGGGAGUGAUUUUGGAAGUUCAGGAUUUGCGGCCGAAAAUUUGAUUUCAUUUCAUGUUGCUGCGUGUGCGUUUUUGUUUGUCGUAGUGUGCUACUUGAUGCUACUACACUGAACAAAAGCUCCUACCACUAAUUGAAUGAUUUGUAAUUCACAUGGCUACAAAUCUGCAUAUUACUCGUUUUGAAUGAUUUUUAAACAAUAUGAUGCACCCACCGACUGCUGAACAAAAAUCAUCCAAUUUUAUGAUGACUUUUAGUAUACAUCUGUAUGACAAUGUGUUGAUAGUUGAACUUUAACAACACAAAUGAGUAACAUGCGGCUUAUGAGGGAUAUUCAUUUCUUCCAUGCCCCAAAUCAAAAAUCAUUCAAUUAUAGUCUAAAACUUCAUUCGGAUAGCAAAUGAUUCUUGACUUGAAAUCAUCCUUGUCAAUCUAAACAAAAACAUGGCGGCAGCAGCGGAACAUAGCAUUUCUUCUCGGAUUUCGCAGGUGACCAAGAACCGGUAAUCCUGGUUCGAUCCAGGGACAUUGGAGUGGAUAAUGUGGACACUUCCAGGAUGCUUCAAACAGCUAUAUUAAAGGCGGCUCAUUAGUGCGUGAAUUGUUAAUUGAUUUUUAUGUUGCCUAUUAUCAUCAAAAUAAAUGAUGACUUGUGGAAACCACCAA
Long non-coding RNA from Aedes aegypti (yellow fever mosquito), 837 nucleotides. RefSeq lists it as uncharacterized. NCBI's taxonomy places the organism in Eukaryota, Metazoa, Arthropoda, Insecta, Diptera, Culicidae. The transcript has 2 exons. The record is from RefSeq and is a predicted model, not a curated record.